AGAGAGAGAGAGAGAGAGAGAGAGAGAGAGAGAGAGAGAGAGAGAGAGAGAGAGAGAGAGAUUCGUUUUCUGACAGAUUUUUGUUCUGGCCGACAUUUCCACAUCUCUCUCUCCCUUUGUGGAUGUGUGGUGAAAGGCUGCCUUUACUUGUGUUGUGUUUGACAGAAUGUUGAUUCUACGGUAAACAGUAGGCAGCUCUCUCCCUGUGAAGAUACUGUUCCUCAGACUGCCACUCGGGCCUGUCAGAGCUGACACACGCAGUCUCACACCUCACAUGCUCAGAAGAGUUGAAGUGGGUUACUUGAAUACUUGCGUGCACUCACACACACACACACACACACACACAUAUAGACAUUGUGCAUACUCAAAUAUGCAUUUAUGCACUUCACACACAUCCAUUGCCAGUGGAUUAUAUACUUGGAGCACACUCUCAUAUGUUGCACCUACAGAUAAUCCUUGUCCAUACACACCGACUCCCAGCCAGCCCACUGCUGGUCUUUAUUUGGCCGAGGGUUACCGCUCAUUCCCUGACCUCGCCACCGUGGCAACAGCUGGUGCGAACAGAAACCUCUUCCCUAUUUUGCGUGCGCCGGUGGAUCGUGUAACUGCCACUUUAUCACCCCUGGAGGCCACCUGAAGGACGCGGAGUCCGAGCGCACAUUAACAAAGCAAAUGUUUUCCCUCACCCAGCACCUGUGGGGAGGAGAGGUGAGGAGCACCCAGCACCAGUGGAGGUGAAGAGCACCAGUGGGGAGGAGGUGAAGAGCACCAGAGGAGAGGAGGUGAAGAGCACCAGAGGAGAGGAGGUGAAGAGCAGGAGCAGCCAGCACCAGUGGGGAGGAGGUGAAGAGCACCCAGAGGAGGUGAAGAGCAGGGGGCCGAGGACGGCUCCAUCCACAGCACUGGCCUACGAGGCCCCCUCCCUACACUUCUUAAAGCUAGUUUACAUUUGUUAGCUGAUAUUCUUUUGGAAGUGAAGUUCCACUGUUACCUGCCUGCAUUCAUUUCUUUACGACGUGCAGAACCCAUGACGGACACCAUA
Long non-coding RNA from Clupea harengus (Atlantic herring), 1042 nucleotides. The record is from Ensembl. Lineage: Eukaryota; Metazoa; Chordata; Actinopteri; Clupeiformes; Clupeidae.